UACAGAGGUCUCAAGCGUUGUUCGGAUUCAUUGGGCGUAAAGGGUGCGUAGGCGGCGCGGUAAGUCGGGUGUGAAAUCUCGGAGCUUAACUCCGAAACUGCAUUCGAUACUGCCGUGCUUGAGGACUGGAGAGGAGACUGGAAUUCCCAGUGUAGCGGUGAAAUGCGUAGAUAUUGGGAGGAACACCAGUGGCGAAGGCGGCUCACUGGACCGGUACUGACGCUGAUGCGCGAAAGCGUGGGGAGCAAACAGG
This 253-nucleotide ribosomal RNA is filed under the name uncultured bacterium. RNAcentral describes it as "partial 16S ribosomal RNA". It matches the Rfam family "Bacterial small subunit ribosomal RNA", at positions 524 to 776 of the family's 1533-position model. The record is from RNAcentral.